Molecule: non-coding RNA, 102 nt
Organism: Xylariaceae sp. FL1019
Lineage: Eukaryota; Fungi; Ascomycota; Sordariomycetes; Xylariales; Xylariaceae
Source: the annotation of a GenBank genome assembly
GGUCGGUUAGCUCAGUUGGCAGAGCAUCGCAAUUACAUCCAGUUUCAGGAUCUGAAAUAAGAAGGACUGCGAAGGCCAUAGGUUCAAGCCCUAUACUGACCA